RNAcentral lists this transfer RNA (74 nucleotides) under Caudoviricetes sp. Its description in RNAcentral is "tRNA-Met". It matches the Rfam family "tRNA". From Rfam's summary of the family: Transfer RNA (tRNA) molecules are approximately 80 nucleotides in length. Their secondary structure includes four short double-helical elements and three loops (D, anti-codon, and T loops). Lineage: Duplodnaviria; Heunggongvirae; Uroviricota; Caudoviricetes. The record is from RNAcentral.
GGAAGCUUAGCUCAGUUGGUCAGAGCAACCGGCUCAUAACCGGUCGGUCCUGGGUUCGAAUCCCAGAGCUUCCA